UUUUAUAUUGCCAUUUUUUCAUAUAUUACUUGUAUUUAGAGUUUGCAGUUAUAGUUUUCAUCGUCUUACAUUAAAAAAACCUUGAAAAGGAAAAACCAAAACGCACACAGAUAUUAUUUACAAAUAACAAUUAUAGAUAUAAUAAAAAAAUUUGUUAACAAUUGAUCAACAAAAACUUUGGUUUACCAUUUAAAUGGUGAUUUUUGGACUAACUAUAGAAGUUCAGGUUGUAUGAAUACAAACAAUGAUAUGGGUGCAUAUAUCAUUAAAUGGAAUUCAAUAAUUGAUCAAUAAUAGAAAGAAUGCUUUAAAAUGCAUAAAAGCCUAAAAAAACUUUUAUCUAUGAAAAUAAUUUUAAAAUGUCAUUUAUGUUCGAAUAAUAAUUUCAUGUGACAAAUUAAAGUCAUUGUAAAUGUAUAUAAGUUAGACGCAGAAUGACAUCAGCAGUUUAUCUUGGCAGUGGUGGUAUUCUCCAUCGUGCAUUAAUAUUUAUGUUAAAACUAGGAUGGAAAUCAAGAUUUCGUUUACCAGUAUUAAUUAUUGUAGCUUUUGUUGCUUUGGAUAUCAGCAUGCAGCUGGAAAUUGCAUUAGAGCAUGAAAAUGGUACAGAACAUACUGCUCAUUUAUGAUUCUUGAAUAGAAUCUUCUUGAUUUAAAUUUAUUGGAUGUUAAACAAUACUAUUGCUGUAACUAAAGCUAAAAAUCACCAUGAUUGAUGCGUUUCGCCGCGAGGGCCUCAGGAAAUUAAUUACUAUGGCGGCCAUUUUGAAAAAAAAAU
Molecule: long non-coding RNA, 778 nt
Organism: Polistes dominula (European paper wasp)
Lineage: Eukaryota; Metazoa; Arthropoda; Insecta; Hymenoptera; Vespidae
Source: RefSeq, a predicted model, not a curated record